AAAUCAACAAAACGAUUAUCCUCUAUAGUGAGUAGUGAUAUAAUGAU
RNAcentral lists this non-coding RNA (47 nucleotides) under Trypanosoma brucei brucei. Lineage: Eukaryota; Euglenozoa; Kinetoplastea; Trypanosomatida; Trypanosomatidae. The record is from RNAcentral.